GUCAUUAUGUCUCACAAUGAUUUUUGCCAUUCAUGGAACAGGUUGGUGGUGAUAACUUUUAAACAACACUUUCAGAAAGACACUUUUUAUAAAAUACUGUGCUGCUCAGAACUUAAGGUUCUAAGUCCCUGAACAGCAGGGAUUGCUGCGGAAGUGGAUCACAAUGCAAAGAAAAGAUCAGAAACAUGAAUGGCAGCUUGCUCUUGAGCUGGACCUGUGUCUUUUCUCCCCCGUUCUGGAUACACUUCUCCCAGCCCUCAGCACGUCUGUUUUCCUACCUGUCAACAACCAGCACCAUGGAGAGAAAAAGGAGUGAUGGCACACCAGGGCACUUAGAAGACACAAAUGUCUUCAGAGGUUCCCUCUCUGGCACUUGGUACUUUGGCCUGCCUUUCCCAUCUUCAAAUCUUCACUUUCUUCUGUAAGAGCUCUGAGCAUUUCGGUUUUCUUCCUGAGAUUUACAGAACAUGAGACUUAUUUUCUGUGUAAGUAGGCAAUGAAGUUAAUGCUAUUUCUACACCUUUGUUCCAGGCAAGGGGGGAGUGGGGGGGUGAUGACUUCCUUUUCUAAAACACUUUGUUUUUCCUGUUUUACCUGAAGCUUUGAAAGACUUUGACCACAAGAUUUCAAGCCUGUGGACCCUUAGACACAAUAAACGUGCGUGAAUUUGGAGGAGAUGUUGCCUG
Molecule: long non-coding RNA, 686 nt
Filed under: Cyanistes caeruleus (blue tit)
Lineage: Eukaryota; Metazoa; Chordata; Aves; Passeriformes; Paridae
Description: lncRNA (ENSCCEG00000012880.1)
Source: RNAcentral